RNAcentral lists this ribosomal RNA (287 nucleotides) under uncultured fungus. RNAcentral's name for it is "partial 28S ribosomal RNA". It matches the Rfam family "Eukaryotic large subunit ribosomal RNA", at positions 399 to 675 of the family's 3401-position model. Lineage: Eukaryota; Fungi. The record is from RNAcentral.
GUGAAAUUGUUGAAAGGGAAACGCUUGAAGUCAGUCGCGUUCGCUGGGGAUCAACCUUCUCUCGAGUUGGUGUACUUCCCAGUUGACGGGUCAGCAUCGAUUUCGACUGUUGGAUAAAAGCUGGAGGAAUGUGGCAUCUCCGGAUGUGUUAUAGCCUCUUGUUGCAUACAACAGUUGGGAUCGAGGAACUCAGCACGCCGCAAGGCCGGGGUUUUACCCACGUACGUGCUUAGGAUGCUGUCAUAAUGGCUUUAAUCGACCCGUCUUGAAACACGGACCAAGGAGUC